RNA transcript from Amborella trichopoda, 2726 nucleotides. RefSeq lists it as uncharacterized. The record is from RefSeq and is a predicted model, not a curated record. Lineage: Eukaryota; Viridiplantae; Streptophyta; Magnoliopsida; Amborellales; Amborellaceae.
UUCUAAUUCACAUUGAUUGAUACUCGAUCAAUUAUUAUUCAUUGAGGAUAAUGACUUCCAGUGCAUUAAGUAAGCCAAUCGGUCCAGGUUGGAAGUAUGGAACUUGUCCAAAUCCUCUUAACAAGAAUAUGAUCGAGUGCAAGUUUUGCAAAAACUGUUAUAAUGCCGGCAUCAACAGAUUGAAGAAGCAUGUAGCCGACAUUAAGGGUGGCGUCACGCACUCUAGUGCCUGCUAAGGUCAGGAGAUAUGCUAGAGAACUUGGAGGGGGUGAAAGCCAAGAAACAGGAGGUGAGAAUAACACGGGAUGAACUUGUAAGGGCUGUAGAUGUUCUUGAAGUUCGAAGAGAGGAAGAAGACAUUUAUAUUGAGGUUGGUUAUUUUAGUAGGCCAAGAACAAGACGACCUAUGGAUGCUUUCGUCCCUUGCCUUGAUCCUGAGGUACUACCACGAGAAAGGGGUCAAACAAUCUUAGAGACCCAUUUGAAGAAGGAUGAAAGAGAAAGGGUCAUCCAAUAUGUGGGGAGGUAGAUGUUUCAAGCAACAUUUCUUUUAAUGCCGUUAACUUGAGUAGCUUCCAAGCUAUGUUGGAAGCAGUGGGCUUGUUUGGGCCAGGGUUGAGGGCUCUAACUGCUUAUGAGCUUAAAGGGCCAAUGCUAAUGAAUAACUACUUGAAGACCCACACUUAUGCAUAGGGUGUAUAUGGUUGCACAAUAAUGACCGAUGGCUGGAAUGAUAAGAGGUGCAUAAGCAUCAUGAAUUUGAUAGUGAAUUGUUCCAUUAGGGAAAAUGUUCAAGAGGUCUAUUGAUGCUUCAGACAAGUCUCAUGAUGCAGAGUUCAUUUUUAAUUUGGUGGACCAGUGUAUAGAGGAGAUAGGGGAGGAUAAAGUGGUCCAAAUUGUGACCGAUAUCUAUUCAACUACUAUGGCGGCUGAUAGAUUAUUGAUGGAUAAGGGGCUGCGUAUUUUCUAAUCCCCUUGUGGAGGAGGAUGCUGCAUAGACCUCAUGCUUGAGGCCAUUGGUACGAGGAAGACAUUCAUGACAACCAUCGAAAAGGCAAAGAAAGUCGUAGUUUAUUUGUACAGUCACACUCAGGUCUUAGUUAUGAUGAGAAAGUUUAUUAAGAACAAAGACUUGGUGAGGCCUUGGGUGACUAGAUUUGCCACCUCGUGCUUGUCCUUACAAUCUUUAUUUGAGCAGAAGGAAAAAGUGAGGUCCAUGUUUGUGUUUGAGGAUUGGGCCAAGUCCAAUUGGUCCAAGAAAGAUGAUAAAAGAGUUGUUGUGGACAUUAUUAUGGACUCAAGAUUUUGGAACAAGGUCCAGUAUGCCUUGUUAGUCUUUCACCCUUUGGUAAAUGUUCUCAAGAUGUUUGAUGCUGAGAAGAAACUUGCUAUGGGGCAUAUCUAUAAAGCCAGGCAAGAUGCAAAGGAAGAAAUCAACAGAUCUUUGUGGGAUGAAAAGUGGUAUAGGGAGUUUUUGAAGAUUAUUGAAGACAAAUGGAACUCCCAGCUUGAGAUGCCCCUACACUUAGCAGAAUACUACCUUAAUGCUGCUCACUUUUACACCGAUGCUGAGGUAUAUAGUAGGCCUGAGUUCAUGGAUGCUUUCAACCAGUGCAAUGUGAAGCUCAACCCUGAUCGUGAAGUGCAAGAUAAGGCAAUGAUGGAGUUAGAUUUGUAUAGGCUUGGUACUGGAUCUCUAGGUAAGGAGGUGGCAGUCAGGCAAAGCUACAAGAUCCCGCCCUGUGCAUGGCAGAUGGGCCAUUGUGGAAGCACCCCUCAUUUGAGGCAGAUGGCCAUGAAAAUACAAAUCUGUCUUGCAGCUCUUGUGGAUGUGAGCGCCACUUCAGCGCCUUUAAAAUGGUGCAUACAAAGAAGAAUAAAUUAGAGCAAAAAUGACUGAACGACUUAGUCUUAGUUCAGUACAAUCAAAAGUUGCAACUUCAACACCUUUCAAAUGGUGCAUACACAGAAGAGGAACAGACUAGAGCAAAAAUGACUGAACAACCUAGUCUUAGUUCAGUAUAAUUACAAGUUGCAAGAGCGCCAUCAACAGUUGGAGCACAAUCAUAGGGAGGCUAUUGAAGCUUUUGAUAUUGAUGACACAUGCGAGUGAUCGGUCAAUGCUAGUGAUGAUGAGGUUUUCCUUGGAGAGGGCUUGACCUGGGGCCAGGUUCGUGAGGUUGUUGGGAUAGCAAUGCCCCCUGAGCAUACCACUCGGGCUCAAACUCAGAGCCAAAGGAAGGGGAAGGAGAAGGCCCAGCAAGGGAAGGUAGUGAAGGGAAGGCAGUGACGAAGAAGUGGAAUAGGGUGAUGACAUCAAAAGAGGAUGAUGAAGAGGAAGAAGUAGAUUCAGAGGAGACGAGGGAUGACGCUCAAUAUGUUGAGGAGGGCGAUGACUCUGAUGAUGUUGGCAUGGAAACAUCAUCAUUAGAUGCUCCUCAUGCUCCAAUUGAACACCCUGUGUGGUGGUGCCUCUUAUGCCAUAGAGUUGUUUGGUUGAUGGCUUGAUGUAGUUUUUGUUUUUAAUUUUACCUUGUUGACUUUGUGUAUCGUUUCUAGACUAGACUUCUAGUUUCCUACAAUGAUUUUUGGGAUUUCAAGCAUUUCAAUGUCUUAGAACUUACAAGCUACAAACUUACAAUCCCUUUGAGACUUGUAUCAUCUGUAAAUCUGUUAUGUGAUUGUAGUAUUGUAUUUGUACUAUUAUGUUUUCGUCUAUUUCAAGA